This 742-nucleotide long non-coding RNA is filed under the name Fukomys damarensis (Damara mole-rat). RNAcentral's name for it is "lncRNA (ENSFDAG00000021678.1)". The record is from RNAcentral. Lineage: Eukaryota; Metazoa; Chordata; Mammalia; Rodentia; Bathyergidae.
AUCAUAUUGUCUUCGGGAUAAAGUAGAUAUAUUGGAAAAGAUCACAUUUUAAUGGAUGACAGUAUCUUUAAUCUUUAUGCUCUCAGAGUUGUUCUUUUCUACUUUGUAAAAGUCACUUAUUCAACAACGUUAUUGAACAUGUUCCUCGUUUCAGAUUGUGUGACUCCUGGGGACAUAAAGGUGACUGAUAGAAGAUAUUCCUACUAUACAGCCUGUGGACUCCCAGGGGCUGGGCCAGGACUACACUUUGGGUGCCACGGAGGGAAAGAGGCAGCCCCAUCCCCACCCCCAGGUAUGAAAUUGAUUUCCCUGGAAGGAUGAAUAACUAUACAACCAGAUACAGAUUUGAAGGCUUUGAACUGAAACCAAAAUUUAGGUAAAGUAAUAAAGAAGUGUAAAGAACAGAAUCUCCAUUUAAAGGAAUAUCCUAUGUAACAUAUGACCUGGUGGAAGGAUUACUGCACAGACAAGCCAAGAAGAAUCUGAAACUACAGGACUUUGCUAGGUUUUCUCAGCAAGUCUUUUAGCAAUAAAAUCUAUGUAAUGAAACAUCCACAAAACCUGCAAUGGGCAGUGUGGAGAGUUUCUGGAUCCCUGGACACAUGGAGGUUCCUGCGGUGUCGUGCACUUCCAGGCACGGAAGAAGGUGGAACCUCAGUACCUCUUCUCCCAUCCCUGCUCUGUGCAUCUCUUCACCUGUACUCUUUGUACUGCACUUACAAAUAAACCUGAAAAGUAAGCA